GCUGUGAUAGCUCAGUCGGUUAGAGCGUGGGUCUAAUAAGCCCAAGGUCGCAGGUUCGACCCCUGCUGGCGGCA
This 74-nucleotide transfer RNA is filed under the name Caenorhabditis japonica. RNAcentral describes it as "tRNA CJA47476". It matches the Rfam family "tRNA". From Rfam's summary of the family: Transfer RNA (tRNA) molecules are approximately 80 nucleotides in length. Their secondary structure includes four short double-helical elements and three loops (D, anti-codon, and T loops). Further hydrogen bonds mediate the characteristic L-shaped molecular structure. tRNAs have two regions of fundamental functional importance: the anti-codon, which is responsible for specific mRNA codon recognition, and the 3' end, to which the tRNAs corresponding amino acid is attached (by aminoacyl-tRNA synthetases). tRNAs cope with the degeneracy of the genetic code in two manners: having more than one tRNA (with a specific anti-codon) for a particular amino acid; and 'wobble' base-pairing, i.e. permitting non-standard base-pairing at the 3rd anti-codon position. RNAcentral also lists the same sequence under 1 other name. Lineage: Eukaryota; Metazoa; Nematoda; Chromadorea; Rhabditida; Rhabditidae. The record is from Rfam by way of RNAcentral.